Molecule: long non-coding RNA, 1733 nt
Organism: Aegilops tauschii subsp. strangulata
Lineage: Eukaryota; Viridiplantae; Streptophyta; Magnoliopsida; Poales; Poaceae
Source: RefSeq, a predicted model, not a curated record
CCGUGGCGCCAUGUGCUGGUAAAAGGCCCAGUCAGACUCUUGUAACCCGGCUCACGUGUCAAACGCUGAUAGGUCGCGUGUGCAGGACCGCAGCUAUAAAAUGCAAGGGGCUUCACCAACCCUAAAACCAUCCCAUCCAUCGCACCCUCCCUCUUCAUCCGGCCGCCGCAACAAUUCCUCUUUCUCAUCGCACUUUUUUUUGCUUUGUGUUUUAUUUAUGCUGCUUAGUUUGUGGAAUUCAGAUCGAUUCUGUUUGUUUUGUUGAUCCAUCUAUCAACUUGAUGGAUAUUUAUCUCUUUUGAUUCUGAUGUUAGUUAUAGAUCGGGAUGUAUUUGGGCUCUAUAUCAUGAGUCAACAGCAGGCGCCGUUCAAUGGCGUCCUGUCUGCCGCAUGGAGCCUAGAUUGAUAGCCAGGAGAAGAUUGUUUGGAGAUCCAUCUUCUUUUAAUUCCAAGCCACAAUAUCUGGCGAUACUUUGCUUCAUUCGUUUGCAUCUUGUUCCAUCGUUGAUUGAAAGGUUGUGACUUUUUUAGAUUUGUUUUGAGACGGCUCAGACGAACGGGUGCUCGGUUGUAUCCAUGGACGAGUUGCCCUUUGCACAAAGUGCCGAGAGAGACGGACGGCCGCUUCACGAUUGGAUGGGCGCGUCGUGUGCUCUUGCCCCAUCCAAAUUUAAAGCGGGCAUACUUCCCCCAAUCGAUCUCUGAUUUAAGUUUUUCUUCAUUUUGUUUGAUUUUUCGUCCAUCUUCUUUCUACAUCACGUUACGUCCGUAAUUCGUCAGAUCUACCAUCUUAAACUGUUCAAAAAAAAUCUGGUGGCACGUUCUGACGUAGGAGGAACUUAGUUAAAUGGACUACCAGCACUUCUCAGACAUCGCAACGGACAAGGCUGGGCGGUGUUUAGCCCUUUCUCCGGUUGCAAUUGACAAUUGAUAUGCAGGCCAGCGGCGGGUGGGUUACCUAAUGUGCAGGCCAGCGGUGGGCGUGAGGUAGUCGGAGACUCCUUCUCUGGCAACGUCGUCUCGGCAUCCCACACGGCGCGGUCCUCGCGGGACUGCACCAACCCGUCGCCGGCAGUCCUGCUCGUCGUGGCCUCGUGGCUGUGGCUGCUCCUGUCGGCCAGCGGCGCGCUGGCGGACGGCGGCAACGGCAGUGCGUGCCGCCGUGCCCUGUCCCUGGGACGCCGACGCCGACGACGUCGCCGACGGAGUUCCCAUUCUGCCCGCAGCGGCCGCCGGCGGUCGGGCCCUUCCCCUGCGCAGCGAGCCGGAGAUCCCCGCCACCCUGAGGAAGGUGGAGCAGCCGCGCUUCAGAUCCAGCCGCCGGAGAUCCCCGCCACCCUGAGGAAGGUGGAGCAGCCGCGCUUCAGAUCCAGCCGCCGGAGUGAAAAUGAAAUCUUGAAGAGGGAGAGGCGACGGCGUAUGGCAACAUGGAAAGGCGGCGACGACGCGAGAGGGAGAGGCGGAGGCGCUGCGUGCGGGGUAGAGGCGCCGGCGACGCGUGCGACGGAGAGGCGCCGGUGGCGGUGAGCUAGGGGUUCGGGAGCCAGCGAGCGAGUGGCUGAGCUGAGCGAGCAAGAGAGUGGGAGGGUAGUUUCGGAAACGACAGAAAUGUCGUAACGCGGCGGAAAUUGCACUAGAAACUCCCAACGACAAUUAUUUCGAAACGGAGGGAGUACUAAAUAAGUUUGUAACUUGGUCAAUUUUCAUCUCAUCGAAAUGUAUUUAUAUCGUCA